Pipistrellus kuhlii (Kuhl's pipistrelle) is the source of this 565-nucleotide long non-coding RNA. RefSeq lists it as uncharacterized. The transcript is spliced from 3 exons. The record is from RefSeq and is a predicted model, not a curated record. NCBI's taxonomy places the organism in Eukaryota, Metazoa, Chordata, Mammalia, Chiroptera, Vespertilionidae.
CCCAUGCCCCCGUCUGCCCCUCGAGGAGCCUCAGGCCGGGCGGAGGGGGCACCAGGACGGCUCACCCCCCGGCCUGGACUUCCCUUCACACUUCCGGGUCUCCCGUCCACCGUCCCUCUGCCGGAGCCGACGGUGCCCACGGUUGCCCCUGCUGCCCCCCUCUCCCUCCAGCCUGCCCGGGAAAGGCCUGGGAACGAGAAGAUGCCGGCACUCGCCUCUCGGGGCCUUUGCGAUGGCACCCACGCGUCCUCAGAGGACACCGAGGUCCCCCAGAGUCAGCGUGCCCGUCAGCCCACCCCCUGCCCACCCAGCCGUGCAGGCCCAGGUCCUGCCCCAGCCCAGCUCCUGCCCGGAGCCACGCCCUCUCUAUGCUCUGGGGUUGCUCCCCCAGGAGGGCAUCUAACACCCCCACCCACCACAGCCCCAGGAGUGCCACCCCGCACCCCGGCAGGGCCCGCCCAGCGUCCCUGGGGGCGAACACCGGUGUCUUUUUCUGCUUAUUCCCCUUUGCCACGCUUUUAGCUUUCUCUUUAAGACGAUAUAUCAAUAAAAUCCUCCAUAAACA